This is a long non-coding RNA of Diabrotica virgifera virgifera (western corn rootworm), 234 nucleotides long. RefSeq lists it as uncharacterized. The record is from RefSeq and is a predicted model, not a curated record. NCBI's taxonomy places the organism in Eukaryota, Metazoa, Arthropoda, Insecta, Coleoptera, Chrysomelidae. The transcript has 2 exons.
GUAUAAAGAAAUUUGCUUUCAUAAUGGUAAAAAAAGGCAGUGACUUAUGACAUUUGACAGCUACGUCAAAUCUUGUGUUGAAAUAAAUAGGUCAAAUUUUAUUUGACAUAUACUGCCCAACAAGUUCAAUUGUAAUUGUUUUGUUUGUAAUCAUUGUAAUCAUUGUUUUUGUAGUAAAAUUUUGAAUAAACCUGGUAAGAGUUUAAAGUUUUGAAUAAACGUUUUGUAAGUGUA